RNAcentral lists this transfer RNA (76 nucleotides) under Thermoprotei archaeon. Its description in RNAcentral is "tRNA-His". It matches the Rfam family "tRNA". From Rfam's summary of the family: Transfer RNA (tRNA) molecules are approximately 80 nucleotides in length. Their secondary structure includes four short double-helical elements and three loops (D, anti-codon, and T loops). Lineage: Archaea; Thermoproteati; Thermoproteota; Thermoprotei. RNAcentral also lists the same sequence under 1 other name. The record is from RNAcentral.
GCCGCCGUGGUGUAGGGGUCAACACGUCGGCCUGUGGAGCCGAAGAACCCGGGUUCGAGUCCCGGCGGCGGCCCCA